GAGUAAAGAUUUCGGUCGCUUUGGGAGGAGCUCGCUUACUAUCAGCUUGUUGGUAGGGUAAUGGCCUACCAAGGCUAUGACGGUUAGGGGGUGUGAGAGCAUGACCCCCAGCAUUGGCACUGAAACACUGGCCAAACACCUACGGGUGGCUGCAGUCGAGAAUCCUCCACAAUGGGGGAAACCCCGAUGGAGCGAUGCUGCGUGCGGGAUGAAGGCCUUCGGGUUGUAAACCGCUUUUGUAGGGGACGAAAUUUUUGACGGUACCCUUUCGAAUAAGAGGUUGCUAACUCUGUGCCAGCAGCAGCGGUAAUACAGAGACCUCAAGCGUUAUCCGGAUUUACUGGGCGUAAAGCGUCUGUAGGGGGUUUAUUAAGUUCCAAGUAAAAUUUCAAGGCUCAACUUUGAAUUCGCUUGGAAAACUAAUAAACUGGAGUCUAGCAGAGGUGCAUGGAACUUGUGGUGUAGGAGUGAAAUCCGUUGAUAUCACAAGGAACACCAAAGGCGAAGGCAUUGCACUGGGCUAGCACUGACCCUGAGAGACGAAAGCGUGGGGAGCAAAACGGAUUAGAUACCCGUGUAGUCCACGCCCUAAACGAUGAAUGCUAAAUGUUCGGGGAUUCGACCCCCUGGGUGUUACAGCUAACGCGUUAAGCAUUCCGCCUGGGAAGUACGGCCGCAAGGCUAAAACUCAAAGGAAUAGACGGGGAUCCGCACAAGCGGUGGAGCGUCUGGUUUAAUUCGACAGUAAGCGUGGUACCUCACCAGGGUUUGACAUCCCUUGACAGCCUUGGAAACAAGGUUUCCUUCGGGCAAGGUGACAGGUGCUGCAUGGUCGUCGUCAGUUCGUGCCGUGAGGUGUUCCGUUAAGUCGGGAAACGAACGAAACCCCUAUUGCAUGUUACAAUUUCUCAUGCAAGACUGCCCGGAUAUACUGGGAGGAAGGUGGGGAUGACGUCAGAUCUGCAUGGUCCUUAUACCCUGGGCGACACAGGCGCUACAAUGGCAGAGACAAAGGGUUGCAAAACCGCAAGGUGAAGCUAAUCCCAAAAACUUUGUCUAAGUUCGGAUUGAAGGCUGCAAUUCGCCUUCAUGAAGCUGGAAUCGCUAGUAAUCGUGAAUCAGCCACGUCACGGUGAAUAUGUUCCCGGAUCUUGUACUCACCGCCCGUCACACCAAGAGAGUUGGUAGCUCCCGAAGC
This 1198-nucleotide ribosomal RNA is filed under the name uncultured organism. RNAcentral's name for it is "bacterial SSU rRNA". It matches the Rfam family "Bacterial small subunit ribosomal RNA", at positions 199 to 1427 of the family's 1533-position model. The record is from RNAcentral.